UACAGAGGUCUCAAGCGUUGUUCGGAUUCAUUGGGCGUAAAGGGUGCGUAGGUGGCGCCGUAAGUCGGGUGUGAAAUUUCGGAGCUUAACUCCGAGACUGCAUUCGAUACUGCGGUGCUUGAGGACUGGAGAGGAGACUGGAAUUCAUGGUGUAGCAGUGAAAUGCGUAGAGAUCAUGAGGAAGACCAGUGGCGAAGGCGGGUCUCUGGACAGUUCCUGACACUGAGGCACGAAGGCCAGGGGAGCAAACGGG
RNAcentral lists this ribosomal RNA (253 nucleotides) under uncultured bacterium. RNAcentral's name for it is "partial 16S ribosomal RNA". It matches the Rfam family "Bacterial small subunit ribosomal RNA", at positions 524 to 776 of the family's 1533-position model. The record is from RNAcentral.